CUUCUUCUUCGUCGUCGUCGUUGUUGUGGUUGUGGUUGUGGUCAUGUCGUCGUCCAUGAUGUCUUCGUCGUCUCGCUCAU
RNAcentral lists this non-coding RNA (80 nucleotides) under Pycnococcus provasolii. Lineage: Eukaryota; Viridiplantae; Chlorophyta; Pseudoscourfieldiophyceae; Pseudoscourfieldiales; Pycnococcaceae. The record is from RNAcentral.